GAUGAAGAACGCAGUGAAUUGCGAUAAGUAAUGUGAAUUGCAGAUUUUCAGUGAAUCAUCGAGUCUUUGAACGCACAUUGCGCCCCCUGGUAUUCCGGGGGGCAUGCCUGUCCGAGCGUCAUUGCUGCCCUCAAGCACGGCUUGUGUGUUGGGCCUCCGUCCUCCUCCCGGGGGACGGGCCCGAAAGGCAGCGGCGGCACCGCGUCCGGUCCUCGAGCGUAUGGGGCUUCGUCACCCGCUCUUGUAGGCCCGGCCGGCGCUUGCCGACACAUCAAUCUUUUUUCCAGGUUGACCUCGGAUCAGGUAGGGAUACCCGCUGAACUUAAGCAUAUCAAUAAGCGGAGGA
RNAcentral lists this unclassified non-coding RNA (346 nucleotides) under soil metagenome. RNAcentral's name for it is "partial contains 5.8S ribosomal RNA, internal transcribed spacer 2, and large subunit ribosomal RNA". The stretch from base 1 to 121 matches the Rfam family "5.8S ribosomal RNA", at positions 35 to 154 of the family's 154-position model. The record is from RNAcentral.